This is a non-coding RNA of Triticum aestivum (bread wheat), 135 nucleotides long. Lineage: Eukaryota; Viridiplantae; Streptophyta; Magnoliopsida; Poales; Poaceae. The record is from Rfam.
UUUGUACUCCCUCCGUCCUAAAAUUCUUGUCUUAAAUUUGUCUAAAUACGGAUGUAUCUAGUUACAUUUUAGUGUUAGAUACAUUCGUAUCUAAACAAAUGUAAGACAAGAAUUUUGGGAUGGAGAGAAUACUAC